GCGUGAGCGAAGAAGGCCUUCGGGUCGUAAAGCUCUGUUGUUAGGGAAGAACAAGUAUCGGAGUAACUGCCGGUACCUUGACGGUACCUAACCAGAAAGCCACGGCUAACUACGUGCCAGCAGCCGCGGUAAUACGUAGGUGGCAAGCGUUGUCCGGAAUUAUUGGGCGUAAAGCGCGCGCAGGCGGUCCUUUAAGUCUGAUGUGAAAGCCCACGGCUCGACCGUGGAGGGUCAUUGGAAACUGGGGGACUUGAGUGCAGAAGAGGAGAGUGGAAUUCCACGUGUAGCGGUGAAAUGCGUAGAGAUGUGGAGGAACACCAGUGGCGAAGGCGACUCUCUGGUCUGUAACUGACGCUGAGGCGCGAAAGCGUGGGGAGCAAACAGGAUUAGAUACCCUGGUAGUCCACGCCGUAAACGAUGAGUGCUAAGUGUUAGAGGGUUUCCGCCCUUUAGUGCUGCAGCUAACGCAUUAAGCACUCCGCCUGGGGAGUACGGCCGCAAGGCUG
This 506-nucleotide ribosomal RNA is filed under the name uncultured Bacillota bacterium. RNAcentral describes it as "bacterial SSU rRNA". It matches the Rfam family "Bacterial small subunit ribosomal RNA", at positions 399 to 896 of the family's 1533-position model. The record is from RNAcentral. Lineage: Bacteria; Bacillati; Bacillota.